AUUGAACGCUGGCGGAAUGCUUUACACAUGCAAGUCGAACGGCAGCACGGGGGCAACCCUGGUGGCGAGUGGCGAACGGGUGAGUAAUACAUCGGAACGUGCCCGGUCGUGGGGGAUAACGUAGCGAAAGUUACGCUAAUACCGCAUACGAUCUGAGGAUGAAAGCGGGGGACCCUCGGGCCUCGCGCGAUCGGAGCGGCCGAUGUCAGAUUAGGUAGUUGGUGGGGUAAAGGCCUACCAAGCCGACGAUCUGUAGCUGGUCUGAGAGGACGACCAGCCACACUGGGACUGAGACACGGCCCAGACUCCUACGGGAGGCAGCAGUGGGGAAUUUUGGACAAUGGGCGCAAGCCUGAUCCAGCCAUUCCGCGUGCAGGACGAAGGCCUUCGGGUUGUAAACUGCUUUUGUAUGGAACGAAAAGGCUCUGGCUAAUACCUGGGGCUCAUGACGGUACCGUAAGAAUAAGCACCGGCUAACUACGUG
Molecule: ribosomal RNA, 484 nt
Filed under: uncultured bacterium
Lineage: Bacteria
Description: partial 16S ribosomal RNA
Rfam family: Bacterial small subunit ribosomal RNA
Source: RNAcentral